This is a non-coding RNA of Durio zibethinus, 4473 nucleotides long. The record is from RefSeq and is a predicted model, not a curated record. Lineage: Eukaryota; Viridiplantae; Streptophyta; Magnoliopsida; Malvales; Malvaceae.
GUAUUUUUUCAGGUCAAAGUGACAUGAUAAAACACUUGGGCUUGGGUGCUUAAAUUGGAGACUGUCAAAUUGGCCCAUUCAGAAACAGAGGAAGCAUCCAAUCAUGUGAAAAAAAAAGCAAGUUUCCUGAAAAACAGACUAGGCCUAGGCGUGGUGAUUAUCGUUGUGCAAUUGCACCAAGCAACCGUGUUACUGGUUUUGUCACCUUGUCUAGUCUUGGCCCGAUCUGGGUGCUUUUGGAAAAAACGAAACCUUUGUUAAACCCAUGGAAUUAACUGAGAGCAGAGAAAGCAGAGCAACGAAGAAGCAGCAGAAACAAGAAAAUGAUUGGAUUACCUGGUAAUCCAUUUUCUUUCUUUACCAUGCCCUUAUUCAACUUAAUUGGCCUUUUGGGUUUUUUAGUUUCAUUUCCAAGAUACAUUUUUUUAUUAUAAACGCACUGAUCCUAGAAAUUAAAUGUCUUACUCCUAGGUUCUUUAUUGGUAUAUUACUGGGAUCGUUUAGAUUCCUAGUAAAGCAGUGGUUUUUUUUAUGUAUAAGUGAGAUCAUUAAUUGACUUUUAUGUAAUAAUGCUAUUAUUAUUGUUGUAACCAUUCCAGAUAUUUAAAAGUUUGAAACAUAGAAGUGUUAGAGGCUUAGUUUUGUAGCCUUUGAGUUUGAAGUAGUUGGUUAUACCAUUGCCUUCAUAAAGGACUACCUUUUUCAGCUUAUGGAGAAUUGGCAUUUCUUUUGUUCCAAGGAAGGAAAAACAUAUAUAUGUUUCCUUAACAUGAUGGCAUUUCAGAUAUUGUGCUAUAGCACCAACGGUCAUAGCUUGUCAAAUUGAUCCUAUUCUUUUUGAAGCUCUAUAUGUGAGUAGCCACUUUCACUGUCCCUACUGUAUUUAGAAGACAUUGUUGAGCACAUACUGCCUUACUUGCAUUCCUCUAUGUUCUUUUACCUUUUUUCUCUCAUCAACUUAUGGUUUUGGGGAUAAUAUUUUCUAAGAUAUCCGUGUCCUAAUGUUUGGAAGCUUGAAUUUUGCAACUAUGAAGCUCUUAUAUGGCUAACACUAUUUUAAUGUGGACAAAACGUGCUACAGACAUCUCAGCAUGCAAUUAUUAUUAUUAUUUUUUUUUUUGCCAGGGUGCCCCUAAUAUGGAAGAACUUUUCUGUAAGUAUAACUUGAAUUCCAUAUAAUUUAUUAACGAACAUUUUGGUUUCUGAAAUUGCCAAGUAUUGGCAAUUAAGGGAAGAAACUUCUAAACCUUUCUCAGAUAUAUACUUUACAAACAUCUGUAAAUCUGUAUAAGGGUUUGAUUCUUGUAAAUUGUCAUUCCUUUUUUACAUUUGCUCGAAAGUGUACUAACUGAAGGGGGCUGGUAUUUCAUAAUCCUUAAAUGCUGAUAUAACAUGUAAAAACUCUUAGCUUCUAGCUAUGUUUUUGCCUGCGAGUGAUAUACUGCUGUUAUGUUGAAAACAUAGUGUGUAGGAUGGCGGGAAAUCAUCAAUACCCAGUGUUUGUUGCACAGUUGCACCAUCCUUUGAUAAAAGGAGACCAAAGCCUAUUUAUAAUCCAACCAAUUAAAAUAAAGAAAGGCUUCAUUCUUUGGUAGAUUCAGUAAACUUCUAUAACUCAAUAGUUCUAUCUAGUAAAUUGGUAAUUUAUUUAACUAGUAUAUAACUAAAUCCGGGUCAGGUUCCACAAAAUGAUAAUGAGUUCUUCUGUUGGUUCUGCUUACUGUCUUAUUGCAAGUCCUGUGACUUAUUUAUUUAUAUCACAUCCUACAUAUGCUUUUAGCUAAUUCUCUAAUGUUGAUAAUGAACAGUUAUUUUUUUUAGUAGAAUAAAAGUACUGGGGUGCGCAGCUUCUUAACAUGCUUAAUGAAUUCUGGUGGCUCCCUUGGUAAGAUCGUAUUAUUAAUGGAGCUAUUGGAGUAUCAUAUGUUUAUAGAGCCAUAGAGAAAGUGUUGUUCUAUGCCGAUGAUAAGGUAGAAGCUAAGUUCAUUUGAUAGUUUUCUCUUGCAAUGAAAGUAUUUACCAAGAUCCAGGAAAAAGCAAAAACAAGUGUUAUUAUGGGCUCUGUACUUGGUGUUCUGACAAAUGGCACAAUCCUGAGUCAAAUUACUGUAUAUCAGAAGCCUCAAGCCCAGGCCCAGAAGGAAAAGAAAGAAAAGUAGAAUGAUCUCACGUUACAGCUAUGGAAAUUUGUUGGUCUUAAAGAUGAUGCUAGUUUAGAUUUUAGUGUAAUGAAUUACCGGGCUUUUUUUUUUAAAUGAGAUUCUUUAUCUCUAAUAUGCUUCUCUUUAUGAAUCAUGCUGCUGUUAAUGAGGCGUUUAGGCUAAGCGAGGUAGUUGUCAAUGCAUAGACCACAAGAAGACAAUCUUUCAAGAUGUAGUUCUGAAUUUUGUGAUGAAUUGAAGACUUUGUCCGAAGUUUCCCAUAGAUUUUCAUUGGUGUUCCCGGUCUUGUCGAUCAAUCUGGGUCGGAUCACGGGAAUGGUAACCCUCGGAUGACAGAACUAAGAUCACAAGCUAAGGUUUCUGUCCAAUCAUAAGUUACCGGUCAACCAUGCAAUCUACAGUGGUUUUGUCAUGAUAUUUCAUCUUUUUAGGAUUCUAACACAGAUGGCGAUGGUUCACAGCGGUCCGUAUACUUUUUGUCUGUGCUCUCCAGCCUUGCUAGAUAAUAUGCAUCAAACAAUGCUUUCUUUUUUUUUUUAAUCUUUUUAGGUUGCAAGAGGUAGCCUCCAUGAAUUUUCCCAUGUCAUGUCAUGAAGAAAGCAAAAACCAAGAGUGGGUUCGGAGGGAAAGAAAGCAUUGCCAUUUGCCAUAGGAGAAUGGCUAAGAAAAGUUGAAAAGUAAAAGGGGUACAUAAUUCAUUAGAAAGAAAAUGGUUGCCACCAAUCCAAGUGGGAUAUAGCAUAAGCUGUAAAGAUAUCAGAAAGCGUGGAAGGCAGGCAAUGGUAGAAGAAAGCGUGAAUUCUGUGAUAAGAUAAUGCUUUUUGGAAAUGUUAGGUUGGGUGGCCACUGGCGUCAAAAUUUCCAUCAAAUUGAACUAUUCUAUUUCUAGAUAUCGUUAUCAUUCAACCGAAACAUGAAAAUAUCCUAAUGUCAAGUUUGGAAAAAAUUAACACCACGCAUUGCAAAUGUGAAAGUUUUACCAUUGUGAUGGACCAAUUGCUUUCAAAAGCAAAAGUCUCCGGUCUCCAGCAUUUUUUAGGGCAGUUUCGAAUUAAUUUUCUAGGCAGGAAUGUGAGAGAUGUCAAUGACAUGAGACUUUUCGGCACAAGGAGCAGGGGGCUCCAAUCAAAACUGGUCCUCAGUCCGGACAGCCAAGUUUUUAAUUAAAUUUGUGGGAUACUUUCUUUUUAAACACCCAGUUCUCAAAUCCAGGACAUGCCUUUCCCAGGAACCAAACGAUCAUCAUAACUGUUAACAAUCAUUAUCUUAGAGACAACAAAAGGAAACAUCGAGUCAGGGAUGCUUUAAAAUGCACAAGAGAAAUCUCCAUUCGUUCCAGAAAUUCCAACCCAAUCUCUGUUUAUGGAUAGGUCAACAGUGGAAAUUCAGAACAAAAUCAAAACUCAAUCAUGCCACCAUUUUUCUAUAGACAUCAACAUUCGCAAGCAAUAUAUUACAUGUUUAACUAAAUGUGUAUGUAACAUGUACAUAUGUAUGCAGACAUGCAGUCAAAGAUUCAUGAUAGGAAAUUAGUUUGCAAUUGAAUAUAUAGUUUUAUUCCCUUAUACCAUGCUGCAGCCUAAAGAACAAUGUUACUAUACCUUGGAGAAAACCGACUUUCUUGGGAAUAUUAAAAAACUUCAAAAAGCAAGCAAGUUAUGGGGGAAAAGUUAAAGUGACAUACUAAUUUAGCAAUAUUAUGUAUUAGUAAUAACUAAGUAAAACAAAUGGAUGAAAGUUAAAUGUACCUCACUUUCGGAUGUGGAGAGCACCAAGACAACUAAAGGAGCAUCAUGUGAAGAGCUACAGACCUCAUAAAAUCUGACUCAGUUGAGGGGUGAUCAUCCAAGCAGUUGGCCCCAAAAUCAUAGCCCUCCCACCUGAUAAAAUUGGAACUUUUUGCUGAUGGCAUCUGAAUAAUAUACCUAAUUGCAUUUUUUACAUUGACCUUGAUGUGUUUUUUCGCUGUACCUCAUGUGAGAUGACAAGAUAAAAUAUAACCCAAACAAGGUGAUAAUCAUUGCAAUAUAUCCAGACUAGAUUUAUACAAGCGCAGUUAAAACCAGAAAAUGUCAAAUAUUUCAGGCUUGUGUGUUCUCCAUCAAUGAAAACAAAAUAUAGAUUCCCUGCAUGCAUGCUAGGAUUGAUAAAGGAAGUGCAAGUAAAUGAGAAAGAUGGAUGAAUUAACCAUUUAAAGAUUCACAAGCUGCUCAAUGAGCAAUGCUAAUGUGACAUAUUCCAGCCCAGAGCAACUACUUACGGCUGACCAUUAGUUCACAAUCCAACUAACAUUUAAAUGUUUUUGAAUCUA